AAUUUACAAACCUUACCGAAAGCAAUUGGAGGGCAAGUCUGGUGCCAGCAGCCGCGGUAAUUCCAGCUCCAAAAGCGUAUAUUAAAAGUUGUUGCAGUUAAAAAGCUCGUAGUUGAAGUUCUGGCUGUAUUGGGCCUCUGCACUCGAUGCGGAGGAACCAGCAGUCAUCCGCUUGCAAAUACAUGUCCUUCCUUAACCGGUAGGCUGUAUAAGUAAGCACUUUACCUUGAGAAAAACAGAGUGUUCCAGGCAGGUUUGUCCGGAAUGCGUUAGCAUGGAAUAAUAGAAUAUGACUGAAGUCGAUUUAUUGGUUAAAGGCUUUAGUAAUGAUUAAUAGGAACAAUCGGGGCAUUGGUACUUGUCAGUCAGAGGUGAAAUUCUAGGAUUUGACAAAGACUAACUGAUGCGAAAGCGUUUGCCAAGAAUGUUUUCAUUAAUCAAGAACGAAAGUUAGGGGAUCAAAGACGAUCAGAUACCGUCCUAGUCUUAACUAUAAACUAUACCGACUCGGAUUCAGAUGAAUUU
This 525-nucleotide ribosomal RNA is filed under the name uncultured eukaryote. Its description in RNAcentral is "SSU rRNA". It matches the Rfam family "Eukaryotic small subunit ribosomal RNA", at positions 522 to 1064 of the family's 1831-position model. The record is from RNAcentral.